CCUACGGGAGGCAGCAGUGGGGAAUAUUGCACAAUGGGGGAAACCCUGAUGCAGCGACGCCGCGUGAGUGAAGAAGUAUUUCGGUUUGUAAAGCUCUAUCAGCAGGGAAGAAGCAAGACGGUACCUGACUAAGAAGCCUCGGCUAACCACGUGCCAGCAGCCGCGGUAAUAUGGAGGGGGCAAGCGUUAAUCGGAAUUACUGGGUGUAAAGGGAGCGUAGGCGGUAUGGCAAGUCUGAAGUGAAAUCCCAGGGCUUAACCCUGGUACUGCUGUGGAAACUGUUAGACUAGAGUGCUGGAGAGGUAAGUGGAAUUCCAGGUGUAGCGGUGAAAUGCGUAGAGAUUAGGAGGAACACCAGUGGCGAAGGCGGCUUACUGGACAGUAACUGACGUUGAGGCUCGAAAGCGUGGGGAGCAAACAGGAUUAGAUACCCCAGUAGUC
This 441-nucleotide ribosomal RNA is filed under the name uncultured bacterium. RNAcentral's name for it is "partial 16S ribosomal RNA". It matches the Rfam family "Bacterial small subunit ribosomal RNA", at positions 338 to 795 of the family's 1533-position model. The record is from RNAcentral.